CACCUACGGGAGGCAGCAGUGGGGAAUUUUGGACAAUGGGCGCAAGCCUGAUCCAGCCAUGCCGCGUGCAGGAUGAAGGCCUUCGGGUUGUAAACUGCUUUUGUACGGAACGAAACGGCCUCUUCUAAUACAGGGGGCUAAUGACGGUACCGUAAGAAUAAGCACCGGCUAACUACGUGCCAGCAGCCGCGGUAAUACGUAGGGUGCAAGCGUUAAUCGGAAUUACUGGGCGUAAAGCGUGCGCAGGCGGUGAUGUAAGACAGAGGUGAAAUCCCCGGGCUCAACCUGGGAACUGCCUUUGUGACUGCAUCGCUGGAGUGCGGCAGAGGGGGAUGGAAUUCCGCGUGUAGCAGUGAAAUGCGUAGAUAUGCGGAGGAACACCGAUGGCGAAGGCAAUCCCCUGGGCCUGCACUGACGCUCAUGCACGAAAGCGUGGGGAGCAAACAGGAUUAGAUACCCUGGUAGUCCACGCCCUAAACGAUGUCAACUGGUUGUUGGGUCUUCACUGACUCAGUAACGAAGCUAACGCGUGAAGU
This 536-nucleotide ribosomal RNA is filed under the name uncultured bacterium. RNAcentral describes it as "bacterial SSU rRNA". It matches the Rfam family "Bacterial small subunit ribosomal RNA", at positions 335 to 865 of the family's 1533-position model. The record is from RNAcentral.